GAUGAACGCUGGCGGCGUGCCUAAUACAUGCAAGUCGAGCGAACAGACGAGGAGCUUGCUCCUCUGACGUUAGCGGCGGAAGGGGGAGUAACACGUGGAUAACCUACCUAUAAGACUGGGAUAACUUCGGGAAACCGGAGCUAAUACCGGAUAAUAUAUUUAACCGCAUGGUUCAAUAGUGAAAGACGGUUUUGCUGUCACUUAUAGAUGGAUCCGCGCCGCAUUAGCUAGUUGGUAAGGUAACGGCUUACCAAGGCAACGAUGCGUAGCCGACCUGAGAGGGUGAUCGGCCACACUGGAACUGAGACACGGUCCAGACUCCUACGGGAGGCAGCAGUAGGGAAUCUUCCGCAAUGGGCGAAAGCUUGACGGAGCAACGCCGCGUGAGUGAUGAAGGUCUUCGGAUCGUAAAACUCUGUUAUUAGGGAAGAACAAAUGUGUAAGUAACUAUGCACGUCUUGACGGUACCUAAUCAGAAAGCCACGGCUAACUACGUG
This 497-nucleotide ribosomal RNA is filed under the name uncultured bacterium. RNAcentral's name for it is "partial 16S ribosomal RNA". It matches the Rfam family "Bacterial small subunit ribosomal RNA", at positions 28 to 507 of the family's 1533-position model. The record is from RNAcentral.